AAAUGUAGUGAAUUGAAACAUCUAAGUACCUACAGAUCAGAAAUCAACCGAGAUUCCUUUAGUAGUGGUGAGCGAAAAAGGAAAAGGCUAUGGUCGGAGAACUCCAUUAGAAUUGAGUAUAUGACUCAUACCAGAGAAGGUUAUAGUCCUGUAUAUUUGGAGUACCGAACAAUUUGACUAAGUAAGACGAGUAAUGGGGACACUUGUCGGAAGAUAGGAAGAUCACUUUCUUAGCCUAAAUAUUAUAUAUGACCGAAAGAGAACAAGUACAGUGAUGGAAAGGUGAAAAGUACCCAGGGAAUGGGGGUGAAAAGAUUCUGAAAUUUCAUAUUUAUAAGCAUCUGAAGCAUUGUUGAGUGUAGGCGACUAUAUAAGACGAAUGUGACAGUAUACCUUUUGUAUAAUGGGUCAACUAGUAUAUACUUUAAGCAAGCAUAAGUAGUUAUAUGAAUGCGAAGUGAACACGUAUUGAUAGUUUGAAGUAUAUAGCCCGAAGCCACUUGAUCUAACCGUGAUCAGAUUGAACACAUUUCAAAGUGUGGGAGGAUCGAACUCGUGUAUGUUGCAAAAUGCUGAGAUGAAUUGCGGUUAGGGCCGAAAGCGCAACCAAAAGUGGUAUAGCUGGUUUUCUGCGAAAGCUGUUUACGCAGCGUGUAAUAUUAGUUAAGAAGUAGGUAGAGCUCUCAAUGAUUGAGGGGGGUCCAAAGCUUUGCCAAAGUUAUUGAAACUUCGAAUUACUUUUUUAUAAUUUAUUGCAAACGGACUAUAGGUGAUAAGGUCUAUAGUCGAGAGGGAAACAGCCCAGAUUGUAAGUUAAGGUCUUUAAAUGUAUCACUUAGUGAAUGAGGAUUGACUUUCCGUAGUAUUGGUCGGGAUGUAGGCUUGGAAGCAGCCAUCAUUUAAAGAAAGCGUAAAAGCUCACUUGCCAAUUGGAAAUGUUAUCUGUAGAUGUAAAGAGACUCAAGUAUAAUACCGAAACUACAAAAUUUAAAAAUUGGUAGCAGAAUGUUCUGUAGGUUGGUUAGAUAAAUCGAUAAGAUUUGUUUCAAAUAUCAGAAGUAAGGCUGUUGAUAUGAGUAACACUAAACAAUGUGAGAAACAUUGUCACCGAAAGUCUAAGGGUUUCUGGUAUAGGAUGAUCCUAUCAGAGUAAGGCGAUCCUAAGAUUUAUACCAACGUUAAAAUCGACGGUAAAUUAAAUUUCUCUAAAUUAAGUUCUGUUGUUUAUGGAAUACAAAUAUUAAUUGGAUUAUUUUUGUGUUUAGCGAGCAACCUGGAAAAACUUAUUUGAACUUUUAUAGAAAUGUAUGAAGAUCGUACCUAAUCUGACACUGGUGGACUAGUAGAGUAUACUAAGGUGGUUGAGAUAAUGAUGUUGAAGGAACUCGGCAAAUUGACUCUGUAACUUCGGGAGAAAGAGUAUUUUAAAAUAAUUAAUUAUUUUAAAGAGGCGGAAAGCAGAAGGAGGGGACUGUUUAACAAAAACACAGGACUUUGCUAAAUCGUAAAGAUGAAGUAUUAGGUCUGACUCCUGCCCGGUGAUGGAGUGAUAAAUGGAUAAAAUUGCAUUUUGUGUACUUUUAUUUUAUAAUACCCAUUAAACGGCGGCCCUAACCCUAAGGGUCCAAAGGUAGCGAAAUUCCUUGUCUGUUAAUUGCAGACGUGCAUGAAUGGAGUAACUACUUCCUUACUGUCUCCAACAUCAUUUCAGUGAAGUUGAAUUUCCUGUGAAAAUGCAGGGUGCUAAUAGCUAGACGGAAAGACCCCAUGCACCUUUACUGUAAUCAUAUGUUUUUUUUAUUAAAUAACCUGUGUAGGAUAAACAUGAGUCUAUUAUAAAGACGAUCUUGAAAUAAUGUUUUUGUUAUUGGUAAAAAAUAUUAAAAUUUUGUUUUAUAGAUAGCGUAUGAUGGUCAGUUUUACUGGGGCGGUGGCUUCCUAAAUAAUAACGGGAGUAUACAAAGGUAAGUUUCCACUAUUUAGAACAUAGUAUGAACGUGUAAUAGUAAAAGCUUGCUUUAUUGCGUUAGAUUUACAAAUCGAGCAAUGACGAAAGUUGGUUAUAGUGACCCGGUGAUCCUGAGUGAGAAGGUCAUCGAUUAACGGAUAAAAGGUACGCUGGGGAUAACAGCUUAUACUGCCCUCAAGUCCAUAUUUACGGCAGUGUUUGGCACCUCGAUGUCGGCUCAUCACAUCCUGGAACUG
Molecule: ribosomal RNA, 2205 nt
Filed under: Bacteroidales bacterium
Lineage: Bacteria; Pseudomonadati; Bacteroidota; Bacteroidia; Bacteroidales
Description: partial 23S ribosomal RNA
Rfam family: Bacterial large subunit ribosomal RNA
Source: RNAcentral